Molecule: long non-coding RNA, 939 nt
Filed under: Homo sapiens (human)
Lineage: Eukaryota; Metazoa; Chordata; Mammalia; Primates; Hominidae
Description: ADNP antisense RNA 1 (ADNP-AS1)
Source: RNAcentral
GCGGCCGCGGGUGCUGCCGGGGGGCGCGGCGGGCGCAGCAGAGCGGCGGGCGGCGGCGGCGUCGUCGAGCGACAAUACAAGCGCCUCGGACCGAGUCCCCGAACCUGCCCUAGCCAAAAUGGCGGCCGAGAAAGAGCGGAAGUGACGUUAAAGAGGCUUUUGUAUACUGGAGAUAUAACCAAAAAAGGUCUAAGGUGACUUUACGCAGAGAUUGAAGGAUGAGCAGCAGAUGGUCAUCAAGGAGCAUGGAAACAGCAUUUCAGGCAAAGGAAAAUGGAACUCUGUGAACUCAGAAGCAUGCUAUGGCAUGGAAAGCAAAAAGGAAGGAGCACAAGGCAGAGGUCAGAAAGGGAGGCAGGGGCCAACAAACACAUAGGGGCUUGAGGGACAAGGGAAGGAACUUGGAUUUUUCCCUAGAUGUUAGUGGGAACUCCCUGAACUCCCUGAACUGGAGGGACAAUAAUCUGAUUCUGUUUUUAUGUAUCUAGCUUAAACUCAGAACAGCUUCCAAAAUCUUAUUCACAGAGGUUUUGUGGUCUUUUGGGCUAAGAAUUUAAUUAUAUUGCCUACAAACAAAUAUAACUGUGUAUAUUUUACUAACAUUUAACUAAAUUCUUAUCUUACUGUAUUAACAUUUCCAUGUUUAAUGAUAGCUAGCAUGCCUGUAUUAAUGCAUGUAUUGGAAAUGAUUCAGCAUUUCACUAUUUGGUGUGGUAUUUGUAUUAGGACUGGGUUAUUUUUAUUAUGCUUAAGAGGUUUCCUUCUAUUCUUAAAGUUUUAACUAGAAAAUGGUAGUAAAUAAUAUCUCCUUUAGCAUCUACAGACUUAACCACACUACUUUGUUAACAUAAUGAAUGAAUUAUAAGUGAUUACCAAUAAUGAGCCAUUCUGGCAUUCCUGGAAUAAACCCUUUUGUUCACGGUGAAAAAAAAAAAAAAA